Molecule: long non-coding RNA, 512 nt
Organism: Eptesicus fuscus (big brown bat)
Lineage: Eukaryota; Metazoa; Chordata; Mammalia; Chiroptera; Vespertilionidae
Exons: 3
Source: RefSeq, a predicted model, not a curated record
GCUUUGCCUGUGAGAAAGAGAGGGAGCCACGCAGAGAUUUCCAGUAGGAUAAUCUAAAUGAUUGGAAGAUUAAUGGAACAGGCUAUGAUGGCCUGAAAGACUCCUUUCCAUUUAAGGAUAUACCAACCUGUGAGGUGAACUCAAAUAUUCCUGCCAGCCAUGAGAGAGCCCUCUCUCUGGAUGAAUACGUGACCCAACUUUGACCCGAGAGACUGGAGAAGACUUUGCUGGCAGCUUCAGGAAAGAAGCUCUCUCUCUUUCUCCUUCUACAUGGCCUGGAGUGUGGGUGGGAAGCCAGGAAUUCCUGCAGCCAUUUUGCCACCAUGAAAGAAGCUGUCCAAGGGUGAAGACAACACCAUGGAGGGCAGAGAAGACAUCCAGAAAGAAGCAGGGGCCAUUUAAUCAAACUUACCCUGAAGCCCACUCUUCCUCUAGGCCUUCAGCAGGUUUGGGCCAUAGUGAGGGACCUUGGGCUUACUUAGCCCUUAUUCUGGGGGCAGUGGGAAACUAUA